Zonotrichia albicollis (white-throated sparrow) is the source of this 2223-nucleotide long non-coding RNA. The record is from Ensembl. NCBI's taxonomy places the organism in Eukaryota, Metazoa, Chordata, Aves, Passeriformes, Passerellidae.
UGUUAGUGGUCAUCAGUGGUCAUUGAUGGUCACCAACGGUCAACCAUAGUCAUUGAUGGUCACCAAUGGUCAACCAUAGUCAUUGAAGGUCAUCGAUGGUCAUCAAUGAUCAUCAAUGAUCAUUAAUGGUCAACCAAGGCCAUUGAAGGUCAUCAAUGGUCAACCAAAGUCAUUAGCGGUCAUCAAUGGUCAGCCGCGCCUGGCCGAAGGGGACACGCAGUCAGCGUUGGUCACCAAUGGUCACCAGUGGUCAUCAAUGGUCAUCAAUGGUCAACCAUAGUCAUUGAAGGUCAUUAUUGGUCAUCAAUGGUCAACCAAGACCAUCAAGGGUCAUCAAUAGUCAUCAAUGGUCAUCAAUAGUCAACCGAGGCCAUUGAAGGUCAUCAAUGGUCAUUGUUGGUCAUUGAAGGUCAUUAAUGGUCAACCAAGAUCAUCAAUGAUCAUCAAUAGUCAUCAAUGAUCAUCAAUGGUCAGCCGGGCCUGGCUGGAGGGGACACGCGGUCAUCGUUGGUCAUCAGUGGUCAUCAAUGGUCAAUCACAGUCAUUAGUGGUCAUUAAUGGUCAUUAGCAGUCAACCAAGGUCAUUAAUAGUCAUCAAUGGUCAUCAAUGGUCAGCCAGGCCUGGCCGGAGGGGAUACGCGGUCAUCGUUGGUCAUCAGUGGUCAUCAGUGGUCAUUGAAGAUCAUCAAUGGUCAACCAAGGUCAUUGAAAGUCAUUAUUGGUCAACCACGGUCAUUGUUGGUCAUCAGUGAUCAUCAAUGGUCAUCAAUGGUCAACCAAAGUCAUUGAAGGUCAUCAAUGGGCAUCAAAAGUCAUCAAUGGUCAAGCAAGGUCAUUGAAGGUCAUCAAUGGUCAACCAUGGUCAUCAAUGGUCAUCAAUGGUCAAUCAAGGUCCUUGAAGGUCAUCAAUGGUCAACCAAGGUCAUGAAUGGUCAACCAAGGCCUUAAAUGGUCUCCUAAUAUCAUUAAUGGUCAGCCAAGGUAAUUAAUGGUCAUCAAUGAUCAUCAAUGGUCAACCAAGAUUAUUGAAGGUCAUCAGUGGUAAACCAUGGUCAUUAAUAGUCAUCAAUGGUCAUCAAUGCUCAGCCGCGCCUGGCCGGAGGGGACACGCGGUCAUUGUUGGUCAUCAACAGUCAUCAGUAGUCAUUGAAGGUCAUCACUGCUCAACCACGGUCAUNGACCAUGGGUGGUCAUUGGUGGUCAUUGGUCACCAAGGAUGGACAUUGGUGACCAUGGGUGGUCAUUGGUGGUCAUUGGUCACCAAGGAUGGACACUGGAUGACCAUGGAUGGUCAUUGGUGGUCAUUGGUCACCAAGGAUGACCAUAAAUGGUCAUAAAUCACCAAAUUAUGGACACUGGGUGACCACGCGUGGUCAUUGGUGGUCAUUGGUCACCAAGGCUGGACAUUGGAUGACCAUGGGUGGUCACAGAUCACCAAGAGAUGAACAUUGGUGACCAUGCAUGGUCAUUGGUGGCCGUAAUCACCAGGAAUGGACACUGGAUGACCAUAAAUGGUUGUAGAUCACCAAAUUAUGGACACUGGAUGACCACGGGUGGUCAUUGGUGACCACGGAUGGUCACUGAUGACCACGGCCACCAGGAACACCCCCGUCUCAGCUGAUGUAGAUGCGGUGGAAGUCGUGGUCACCAAGGCUGGACACUGGAUGACCACGGAUGGUCACAAAUCACCAAAGACGGACGUUGGAUGACCAUAGAUGGUCACAGGACACCAAAGGAUGGACACUGGAUGCAUGGUCACUGGUGGCCAUGGUCACCAAAGAUGGACAUUGGUGACCAUGGGUGGUCAUUGGUGGCCAUGGUCACCAAGAAUGACCAUAAAUAACCACAGAUAACCACAAAUGACCACAAAUGACCAAUGGCCACCAGGAAUGACCAUUGUCCUUGUGGUGGGUCACCAAGAGAUGAACAUCGGAUGACCAUAAAUGGUCAUCAAUCACCAAGGGAUGAACAUUGGAUAACCAUGGAUGGUCAUAAAUAACCAAAUUAUGGACAUUGGAUGACCGCGGGUGGUCGUUGAAGUGACCACGGAUGGUCACUGAUGACCACAAGUGGUCACUGAUGAUCAUGGCCACCAGGAACGGCGCCAUCUCAGCUGAUGUAGACGCGGUGGAAGUCGUGGGCGCCGAAGGCCGCGUUGCAUUUCGGGCACUUCCUCUGGCGCGUGUCGUAGCGGCUCUUGACGCACUCGAAGCAGAAGACGUG